UAAUGUUUACAUAUAAAUUACUUAUAUAUUGCUUAAUUGUUUGCAUGUUUAUGUCGUAGUUAUGAGUUUUAGAGGUUAUGUAGAAUUUGCACCCAAGUGUUUAAUGAAAUGUUUGAAUGAGUUUUUCAUUGAUUGUUUAUUUUCUUAUGGUGUAGAUCUUAAACAAUGGCCAAUUUGUUCAACACUCAAGUACGCUUCAAUGGUGGAAAUCCUCGGUUGUUCAAGGUUGGGUACAUUAAUGUCACCUUAAAGGACUCAAUAAAUUAAACAAAUUACUCUAAAGGACUCUAAACUCAAUAAAAUAAUUAAAUAAAUAAAAUAGGGCGUUACACACUUCAAUGCUGCAUUUUCGUCAAACUUUCAAGAAUAUAAUUUAAACUCAAC
RNAcentral lists this long non-coding RNA (384 nucleotides) under Medicago truncatula (barrel medic). RNAcentral's name for it is "long non-coding RNA (MTRU_LNC001102)". Lineage: Eukaryota; Viridiplantae; Streptophyta; Magnoliopsida; Fabales; Fabaceae. The record is from RNAcentral.